RNAcentral lists this ribosomal RNA (1430 nucleotides) under metagenome. RNAcentral's name for it is "bacterial SSU rRNA". It matches the Rfam family "Bacterial small subunit ribosomal RNA". The record is from RNAcentral.
AGAGUUUGAUCCUGGCUCAGAACGAACGCUGGCGGCACGCUUCAUACAUGCAAGUCGCGCGAUUAAGGCCCGCAAGGGCGCAUAAAGCGGCGAACGGGUGCGUAACACGUGGAAAUCUGCCAUUCGGUGGGGGAUAACGGCUGGAAACGGCCGCUAAUACCGCAUGUGGUUGCGAGGUCUUCGGGCCUUGCAAAGAAAGAGGCCUUUAAAGCCUUGCCGAGAGAUGAGUCCGCGCCCCAUUAGCUAGUUGGCGGGAUAACAGCCCACCAAGGCUUCGAUGGGUAGCCGAGCUGAGAGGUUGAUCGGCCACACUGGGACUGAGACACGGCCCAGACACCUACGGGUGGCAGCAGUAGGGAAUAUUGGACAAUGGGGGAAACCCUGAUCCAGCGAUGCCGCGUGGAUGAUGAAGGCCUUCGGGUCGUAAAGUCCUUUUCUGAGGGAAGAACUGUCUGGCGAGGAAAUGCGCUGGAUUUGACGGUACCUCAGGAAUAAGCAACGGCUAACUCCGUGCCAGCAGCCGCGGUAAUACGGAGGUUGCAAGCGUUGUUCGGAAUAACUGGGCGUAAAGGGAGCGCAGGCGGCUUGGUAAGUCUAAAGUGAAAUUCCAGGGCUCAACCCUGGACGUGCUUUGGAUACUGCCUGGCUUGAGUACGUGAGAGGAGAUUGGAAUUCCAGGUGUAGCGGUGAAAUGCGUAGAUAUCUGGAGGAACACCGGUGGCGAAAGCGGAUCUCUGGCACGUUACUGACGCUGAGGCUCGAAAGCAUGGGGAGCAAACGGGAUUAGAUACCCCGGUAGUCCAUGCCGUAAACGUUGUGCGCUAGGUGUAGGAGGUAUAGACCCCUUCUGUGCCGCAGCUAACGCAUUAAGCGCACCGCCUGGGGAGUACGGUCGCAAGACUGAAACUCAAAGGAAUUGACGGGGGCCCGCACAAGCGGUGGAGCAUGUGGUUUAAUUCGAGGCAACGCGAAGAACCUUACCCAGACUUGACAUCCCAGGACCGCCUAUGAAAGUAGGUUUUCCCUUCGGGGACCUGGAGACAGGUGUUGCAUGGCUGUCGUCAGCUCGUGUCGUGAGAUGUUGGGUUAAGUCCCGCAACGAGCGCAACCCUUGUCCUUAGUUACCAGCGGGUUAUGCCGGGCACUCUGAGGAGACUGCCGAUGAUAAGUCGGAGGAAGGUGGGGACGACGUCAAGUCAUCACGGCCCUUACGUCUGGGGCUACACACGUGCUACAAUGGUCGGUACAGAGGGACGCAAGAUCGCGAGAUGGAGCCAAUCCCAAAAAGCCGGCCUCAGUUCGGAUUGCAGUCUGCAACUCGACUGCAUGAAGUCGGAAUCGCUAGUAAUCGUGGGUCAGCUACACCACGGUGAAUACGUUCCCGGGCCUUGUACACACCGCCCGUCACAUGACCCGAGUUGGGUGCACCC